Molecule: long non-coding RNA, 321 nt
Organism: Zea mays
Lineage: Eukaryota; Viridiplantae; Streptophyta; Magnoliopsida; Poales; Poaceae
Exons: 2
Source: RefSeq, a predicted model, not a curated record
UGUAGAAAAAACAUAAGACAAGUGUUCCAACAACUAAACCUCCAAACUUGCGACCAAGGCCACAAAGACAAAGUGUUCCAACAACUAAACCUCCAAACUUGCGACCAAGGCCACAAAGACAAAAUGCUCAACCUCAAGACAAACAAGCGAUUGCUGAUUUACAGACGGUGGGAGAUUUUCUCACCGACAAUGUUGAAGUUACCGAGGAUGAUCCAAUCAAUGCUACAAAAAAGAGGCCUGCAAGGGGCAUAACUAAGAUGGAGGGAAUAUUCUCAAGGUCACCUGAAAUGCCAAAAAUCAAAAUUUUACUCAAUGAUCGAG